Molecule: ribosomal RNA, 195 nt
Filed under: Triticum aestivum (bread wheat)
Lineage: Eukaryota; Viridiplantae; Streptophyta; Magnoliopsida; Poales; Poaceae
Description: partial small subunit ribosomal RNA
Source: RNAcentral
AUGGCCUUCUUCUUGAGGCCCUUGGGCGGCGGAGGAGAGUGGUCGGAGGAUGAGGCAGAGCGGCGUCGCCGGCAUGCGCACCGGGAGACGAGGGCAAGGCCGAGGACGCAGACUAGCGCGCACAGGAGCGACGCCAGGAUAACCACCAUGUCCGAGUUCACCGCCAUCACCGGCGCCGUCUGCUCCUGCUGCUGA